GUGGGGAAUCUUGCGCAAUGGGCGAAAGCCUGACGCAGUCAUGCCGCGUGAAUGAUGAAGGUCUUAGGAUUGUAAAAUUCUUUCACCGGGGACGAUAAUGACGGUACCCGGAGAAGAAGCUCCGGCUAACUUCGUGCCAGCAGCCGCGGUAAUACGAAGGGGGCUAGCGUUGCUCGGAAUUACUGGGCGUAAAGGGCGCGUAGGCGGACAGCUUAGUCAGAGGUGAAAGCCCAGGGCUCAACCUUGGAAUUGCCUUUGAUACUGGCUGUCUUGAGUUUGGGAGAGGUGAGUGGAACUCCGAGUGUAGAGGUGAAAUUCGUAGAUAUUCGGAAGAACACCAGUGGCGAAGGCGACUCACUGGCCCAAUACUGACGCUGAGGCGCGAAAGCGUGGGGAGCAAACAGGAUUAGAAACCCCUGUAGUCC
Molecule: ribosomal RNA, 425 nt
Filed under: uncultured bacterium
Lineage: Bacteria
Description: partial 16S ribosomal RNA
Rfam family: Bacterial small subunit ribosomal RNA
Source: RNAcentral